UACAGAGGUCUCAAGCGUUGUUCGGAUUCAUUGGGCGUAAAGGGUGCGUAGGUGGCGCGGUAAGUCGGGUGUGAAAUUUCGGAGCUUAACUCCGAAACUGCAUUCGAUACUGCCGUGCUUGAGGACUGGAGAGGAGACUGGAAUUUACGGUGUAGCAGUGAAAUGCGUAGAGAUCGUAAGGAAGACCAGUGGCGAAGGCGGUUCUCUGGGACGGUACUGACGCUGAGACGCGAAAGCGUGGGGAGCGAACAGG
Molecule: ribosomal RNA, 253 nt
Filed under: uncultured bacterium
Lineage: Bacteria
Description: partial 16S ribosomal RNA
Rfam family: Bacterial small subunit ribosomal RNA
Source: RNAcentral